This 496-nucleotide ribosomal RNA is filed under the name uncultured bacterium. RNAcentral describes it as "partial 16S ribosomal RNA". It matches the Rfam family "Bacterial small subunit ribosomal RNA", at positions 28 to 507 of the family's 1533-position model. The record is from RNAcentral.
GAUGAACGCUGGCGGCGUGCCUAAUACAUGCAAGUCGAGCGAACAGACGAGGAGCUUGCUCCUCUGACGUUAGCGGCGGACGGGUGAGUAACACGUGGAUAACCUACCUAUAAGACUGGGAUAACUUCGGGAAACCGGAGCUAAUACCGGAUAAUAUAUUGAACCGCAUGGUUCAAUAGUGAAAGACGGUUUUGCUGUCACUUAUAGAUGGAUCCGCGCCGCAUUAGCUAGUUGGUAAGGUAACGGCUUACCAAGGCGACGAUGCGUAGCCGACCUGAGAGGGGGAGCGCCAACACGGGAGACGGGAAACGGACCAAGACCUACAGGGGGAGAAAGCGGGGAAGAUUCUCCAAAUGUGGGAAAACCACUGGGGGAAAAACGGGGGGGAAGUGAAGAAGGUUGGAGACUAAAAAACUGUUAUUAAAAAAGAAAAAAGAGUGAAUGAAAAACUCCGCGCUUGAAGGCGACUAAUAAGAAAAACACCGCGAAUCACGUU